UGAACGCGGCUUUGCGUGGCGCAGGCACGUGAUCAAUGCGACCCCUAGAGCCAUCUGGCGGAGUUUCUUGGAACUCGCUAUCUAUUCUAUUUUCAGUCCGCGUUUGGAGCUACGAACUGUGAUUAGCAAAGUGUAUUGCCAUCUUGGUUUUUCAGUUUUUCACCUAGGCAAAAAUGGAGUUUAAAUUCGCUAAUUUUGGAUUAUCCAGCAUGUUAUUCAUUGUGGUGGUAGCCCAGCUCCUAUUCGUAGCAGCAGAGCCUGUUGAAUACACGGGCCAGAAUGUGGUGAUGGAAGGCGAGGGGUUCUCGAUCUCAUGUAAGCUGACUCAGUUUGACGCUCUAAAGUGGCUCAAAGACAACCAACAAAUUGACGAGCUGCAGCAUACUAUCGCCGAUUCAAGAAACCAGUAUGUCUUUGAGGACCGCGAGGAAAACGGCCUGAUCGUUGCAACUAUUUCAGUCAAAUCAGCGUUGUCCAAUCACUCGGGCACGUACCGCUGCUCAUCUCUGUCAAACGAGUCGCAUAACCUUUUCGUCCUUGGUGAUAAUGAAGUAAAAGGAGAAAAGAAAAUGCUGACUUUCAAGCAGGGCACCAAUGUAGAACUUGACUGCUCUAAGGACCCUAUUGCUAAUGGAGUUUAUGUUUGGUAAGUUAAACCAUGUUACUACAUUGACACACUUGGAUUGCAUUUUGCAAAAGGAACCAGAAGAAUUGCGAUGGUGCUAAGAUUGUGCAUUUUCAUCAUUUGCAAUUAGAUUACUGAAACCAUUACAAAAUAUGAAAUUUACAUCGUACUUUUGUCUUAAAUUUACAGUUUUUAGCUAGUAAAAUAGAAACUUUUCAUGGAUAAUCAAGUUUUUCUUCCAAGACAAAAGAAGUUGCACAAUCUUAGCAACAUUGCAAUGCUGCUGGUUCCUUUUUGCAAAAUGCAAUCCACUUGAACAAAUUAAUUAAUUUAUUCCGGUGGAAGAAAUAGGGAGAAAAACGUGAAGAAAAAGUUUUAAGUAGGUAUCACAGGGUUGCCUGGUCAGGGAAUAC
Molecule: long non-coding RNA, 1038 nt
Filed under: Bemisia tabaci
Lineage: Eukaryota; Metazoa; Arthropoda; Insecta; Hemiptera; Aleyrodidae
Description: lncRNA ENSSSA3NGG007031
Source: RNAcentral